GUCUUAAAUGAAAUGCAGACACUGUUAUCCAUCCAAUUUCUCGUCUUCCUCGUAACAGAGAAGAAACUAUGGCAAUGGCUACAGCCGCAGCAUCUGGAUUCUUGUUAGGAAACACUUGUUCCAACAUUUGUUUCCGCAAGUCACAAUUCCGAAAGUUGUCCCCUUCAAAGACCAGUGCGGUUUCGGAGCUAGGGUUUGUUACUUCUCAAUUGAGUGGCGUUAGAAUUUCCUACAACCUAACUCAGGAACCAAAGCUCGUCUCCUCUCCUUCCAUUCCUGCUUUUCAACCUGUUGUUGCCCGUAGAGUGUGUCCCUUUACUGGGAAGAAAGCAAACAAGGCAAACAAAGUUUCCUUUUCAAACCACAAGACAAAGAAGUUGCAGUUUGUGAACCUGCAGUAUAAGAAGAUUUGGUGGGAAGCUGGUAAGCGGUAUGUCAAACUGAGGUUGUCCACUAAGGCAUUGAAGACUAUAGAGAAGAAUGGACUGGAUGCCGUUGCUAAGAAGGCUGGCAUAGAUCUUAGCAAGGAGUAAAAAAUUUGUGCCAAUUAUUCCUUGGAAUUCUAUUUCUUUGAGUUCUUCCAUUGGUCUGUGGAAUUUUUUACUGUAAUAUUCCCUUGGAUCAACGUGCAAGUUUUGUGAAUUCACUUUUCUCAUAUGAUAUCAUGGAGCUUUUGAUCUAUGGUCUUACUAACUCAAAGUUGACAUGAACAAUUGAAAUUUUAUAGCCUGCCAGGUGUUCCUUGCGCUCAAUUUAUGGUUUUGC
This 765-nucleotide unclassified non-coding RNA is filed under the name Hevea brasiliensis (rubber tree). Lineage: Eukaryota; Viridiplantae; Streptophyta; Magnoliopsida; Malpighiales; Euphorbiaceae. The record is from RNAcentral.